Molecule: ribosomal RNA, 118 nt
Filed under: uncultured bacterium
Lineage: Bacteria
Description: partial 16S ribosomal RNA
Rfam family: Bacterial small subunit ribosomal RNA
Source: RNAcentral
AGGAAUAUUGCGCAAUGGGGGCAACCCUGACGCAGCGACGCCGCGUGGAUGAUGAAGGCCUUGGUUGUAAAAUCCUGUCAGAUGGGAAGAAGUGCUAUAUGGUUAAUAUCUGUAUAGU